This is a long non-coding RNA of Phyllostomus discolor (pale spear-nosed bat), 1771 nucleotides long. RefSeq lists it as uncharacterized. The transcript is spliced from 3 exons. NCBI's taxonomy places the organism in Eukaryota, Metazoa, Chordata, Mammalia, Chiroptera, Phyllostomidae. The record is from RefSeq and is a predicted model, not a curated record.
GAUGUGGCCUGCAACCCAGGCAUGUGCCCUGACUGGGAAUCGAACCAGCUACCCUUUGGUUUGCAGCCUUCGCUCAAUCCAGAGCUACACCAGCUAGGACAGAAAAUUCUAACUUUAAAUUUUACUGGAUUUUUGGGUAUAUUUGUUAACAAGGCUAAUUAAUUUUACUCUCUGGUACCUAAUUAAGGAACCUGUGGCUUUUCAGUCUUUUUUUGGGGGGGGGGGGGGUCUAUGCUAUCAACAGUAGGCCUGCUUUAGACAAUAUUUCUUAGAAUUAGGAAGGCAAUAGAGCCAGUAAAACCACUUUAAAAGUUACAAUGUCAGUUACUUCAAACAUUAAGAGAAGAGUAACUUAAUGUUCUGAGUUACUUUUUGUUAAAGCAGUUUUUUCACCCUGUUAAGUUAUAUAUAUAUACAUGUAUAUAUGAUUUUUUAUUAUGGAUUUUUUCACAUAUUUUUAAAAAGUAGACGCAUAAUAAAAUAAUGAACUUCUCUAUACUUUACCUGAGAAGUACCAUCAAUAUUCUGCAAGUCUUGUUUUAUCUACAGCUCCUUGUCCCCCACCCCUUACUUUUACAGGCUUUUAGGUAAAAUUUGUAUAUGCUCAACUGUACUAAUCUUAGUUAUAUAUAUUUUUUAAAUAAAUGGGUACAACAGUCUAACACAUAUGUUUCAUAAAUUAAAACAUUGUCAUCUUCCCAGAAAGUUCCCUUGUAUUCAUUCCUUGCUGACACUGUGGUAAUUAUUUCACCUUAGUUUUGCCUAAUAUACAUUUUAUUUUGUUCCUCAUUUAUGGGGACUAGAAUAUUUUUAUUCAUGGAUAAAGGAGACCAGGUAUUCAGUUCAAAGGCAUUAUCUGUUUCAGAAUGUAUUACUAUGCUAGGUGCUAUGGGAUGAAGAGGGGAGUAUGUGUGUUGUUACACAAUCAUUAAAAAAAUAUAUGACUUUUUUUUUCCCCCUCGGGGAGUUUACAUACUUGUUAGGGAGAAAGGAUUUAAAUGUAAGUUAGGUAAAAAUGUAAGGUGAUGACAGUGCAGUGUACAGGCAGGUAUUCCAUAAGAGUUCUGAGAAAGGAAAAGAUUAAUGUGUUUGGGAGGAGUUAGGGAAGACUUUAUGAAAGAAGUGAGCUAAGCUUAGAAAAGGAGUAGGAAUGGAUAACUAGAGAUAAAUUGAAUGUUAUAGCAGCCUUUAUCAGCUUUUUGUUGUAUUUUAUAUUAGGAAGUAAAAAAGCUUCGUGGCACCCUUUCAAUCCAUCUUCUGUUUUUUUAAGAAACACAAAUAUCAUGUGAUUUUUUAAAAAAUCUUUCAGCUAUUCUAAAAUACAAAAUUCUUAGCAUGAAAGAAUGGUGUUUAUGAUGUGGCACUUCACUAUUCUGCUUAUCCAGCCACACGGGAUUAACGAUCUCUGAGGACAAGGACCUGAGGACCAGGACGGCAGUCUCUGCCCAGCCCUUGCAGCCUGAUGGUAAUCGCUGUCAUCCCCAGGUCUUGUCCCCACCCUUUGAUGUUUCUUUUCCUUUAAGACUCAGGUCAGUCAACACUUUCUCUUAGGUGUUUUCUACCUUUUCCUGAUUUCCGAACUGUUGUUGUCCUCAGCUCUCAUGAUACUGUAAGCAUUCCUCUACUCUAGAAACUACCACUGUGUAUUGUAUUAGAUAAUUUUCCUGGCUUCUGCCUACACCAGACUCUGAGUUUCUUAAGGGUACAGAUCGAGUCAUUUUGAAAGCCUAGUUUGCAUAUGUCACAGGAUGGAACAAUGAUGAAGGAUAGU